CCCGAGUACCAGAAGAGGCCAAUGAGCAGGGCCCCCCCUCCUGAGGACCAUAAACAGUGACCCAGGCACAGAGGGAGUGUAGUGAAUUCCUGUACUUUAAUGUUGCCCUGGCAUCCGUUUUGAAUAUAAUCUGGACUUUCUUACAUUAGAAGCAGGGCUCAGUCAACCUUGACACUGUUUCCAGCUCCCUGCUUCCUCCCAGUUCCUCUAUGUGCUCAAUCCAGAUAUCUACCUUAGACAGUCAUCUCCCGGUGACUGCCUCCCUGUGGGACAGCUACAUACAGCCCACUUGACUGGUCCCGCUGACCCCACAGCCCGCAUGGACUGUUGCAGAUAGGCCAGUGACCCUCUCUCAGCCAUAGCGUGACCCUGCUUGCUCUAAACUCACCAAUUAUUUUAUUUUAUUUUAUUUUAUUUUAUUUUAUUUUAUUUAUUUAUUUUUGAGAUGGAGUCUCGCUCUGUCACCCAGGCUGGAGUGCAGUGGCGCAAUCCUGGCUCACUGCAAGCUCCGCCUCCCGGGUUCAAGCCAUUCUCCUGCCUCAGCCUCCUGAGUAGCUGGGACUACAGGUGCGCACCACCACGCCCAGCUAAUUUUUGUAUUUUUAGUAGAGACGGGGUUUCACAAUGUUUUCCAGGAUGGUCUCAAUCUCUUGACCUCGUGAUCCACCCGCCUCGGCCUCCCAAAGUACAGGCGUGAGCCACCGGCACCUGGCCUAAACCCAAUUAUUACUCCCCUCAGGAAACCUGCCUGGGUGACGCCCUGGACCCCAUAAAGGCCUUGGUCCCACAGGUCCCCUCUCUCUCUCACUCUCUACCUGCUACUUGAACACCCUGCUGUCUCCGGGAUUCCUGUUGGCCCUCAUCGGCGCUGGCUUCUCUCAUGGAUCUGUGAGUAAUGAAAGGCUCCUGUUAUUCCAUGUGUCUCACCUGACACACGCCCAACCCUAACUCCCCUCGCCCCUUAGAGAGCGGCUAUCUCGGCUUAUGGUACCUCUCCAAGGGACACCCCAAGACCCAAUUAGACAAAGAUCUCAACAGGGAGGCUCCUGGCUCAAGGUAAGUUUUGAAAGGAUGCCCAAGGGCUCUGGCAUGACCAUGCUACCUGCAGAGAGGACCCAGGGCACAGGCCCCAGCCCCAGUGGCCGAGAUAGGGGGAGGGUUGCCCCAGGGACCCCCCCAAGUACUGAGGCCUGGGCAUGGAGAUGUGGGAGACCCCUCUCAGAUCCCUGCUCCUGACACACACAGGCAGGGUCCCUUACUGCCUUAUCUUUCCUGGUGCUCACACCUGUCCCCUUCCACAGCUAAUUUCCAUCAGAGACCUGGGACCUAAGUCCCCUGUUUCAGCCUGGCAUCUCCCAGAGCCAUUCAGAUCUCUCUUGGAGGUGCCCGGUGAUCCCCAGGGCAGAGCUCGGUGGAGUCAAGGCACCUUGCUUGCCUCACUCUAGUCCCAGCCUGACCUCAGGAGAAGGAUUGAGGAACCUAGUCCUCCCGCAGGCAGGAGGGGUAGAGCACCUUGGAACCAAACUCAGGAGUUUCUGGCUGGCUCCAAACAGAAGAGCCACAGCCCACAGGAGCUCUCUUCUGAAAGGAUCUCCAGCCUUGGGUUUACCUCAUCAGAGGCUUGGCCUGUGGGACACUGCGGGAGAGGAUUGGGAGAAGAAAGAGGGGUGAGCCCUGUUGUCCUCUUCCAUGCCCUGACCCAGCAGCAUGGCUGGGGGAGGCGCUCUGGCCCUAAGCUUCACUUCCACCACGAAGCCUUCUCUGACUUACUCUCUGCAUCCUCGUCCCCAACCCACCUCAGUACUUAGUACAUGCCCCAGAAGAUAGACCUGACCCUCUGCGGCCUUGGAUCACCAGAGUUGUUUUCCUGGGCACACUUAGGCAUCCUGCCUCUCCCAUCAGACUACGUUACCCAGUCAGACGUGAUGCCCUGGAAUGUGCCCCCCAUCCAUCAGUGUCCCUCUCAGACUGCCACUUGGAGAGCAGGCUGUGUCUUCCCCUCAGUGUACCCCCCUUAGACUGAGCCCCUCCCCCUUGCCUGUGGGCCCCAUGGAAGGCUUUGUGGAGAAACCCCCUCCACCCAGUCUCUUUAACCACAGCCUCCCUCCCUACUUCUCAGGAAACCACAGGAGAAAGAACAGGAUGGGAUUUUAGAGAAGUGGCCAGGAGGCCCUGAAACUGCUAGUGAAGUGGCUGUGGCCAGGGGGCCCAGGGACCUGCCCAGCCUUGGGAUGGGGGUGUGUGGGGGGAGGGGGCAGUACCACAGACCCCCGUAUGGGCCACUGGGACAUGUAAGAGUUCAAGUCCUCCUUCUCCAGGAUAUAUUUCAGAGACAAUGAGGCUGAAUUCAGUACUUGCAGUACCGAAAAAAAAAAAUCUAACUUUACUUACAAAAACCCCAGAUCCAAAGCAACCCUAGAGCUGAUAUUAUAUAGGGUAUGGAAAGCAUGGCAUUCAGCAAUUCGCUGAUUUUCAAAAGUUGGACUGUGUGCAGAUUGGCUGACUUUCAGUCUUGGCAGUUAGGGAUUGGCUGACUUUCAGAAGCAAAUCACUGGAGUAAGACCCUUGCUGAUUGGCUGGCUCUCAGAAGCAUGGUCCCUGGAAUGAAGCUGUUGCUGAUUGGUUGGCUCUCAGGGGACUGAAGUAACGUGAUCAAUGACUGAUUGGACCAGGUUGAAAAUAAGUCUGUGUGACUUGUUCCUGGCUUCAGACUAGUUCUCAAAACAGUCCCCCACCCCCCGCCUUUUUACUUGCUUUUAAAAGACAGAGUCUGGCUCUGUCACCCAGGCUGGAGUGCAGUGGCACGAUCAUGGCUCACUGCAGCCUCAAACUCCUGGGCUCAAGCAGUCCUCCCAACUCGGCCUCCUGAGUAUAGUAGCUGGGACUGCAGGCAUGUGCCACCACACCCUGCUAAUUUAUGUAUUUUUGGUAGAGACAGGGUCUUGCUAUGUUGCCCAGGCUGGUCUUGAACUCCUGUCCUCAAGCAAUCCUCCAACCUUGGCCACCUCCCAAAAGGCUGGGACUACAGACUUGAGCCACUGAGCCUGGCCGCUCCCUUCCCUGCCCUUUUGUGAAUUUAGAGAAUAGAAACAUUUUGUUUUCACCUCCCCCACAUUCCUGGCUUUCCCUUUUCUGACCAGCCAAGCACUGAUCAUCUGUACCCACACUCCAGAAUUGUCCAGAAGUCAGUUUGCCCAGGCCUGGUCAUUCCAUCCUUCAAAAACUCUUUCAUGGAGACUGCAGCUCUAGAAAGCAGACCUGUGCCCUUCCUUUCUGGUGCUUGGCACACCCUCCUCAUCCCCUGUUUGAAUGGAUGAAUGAGUGAGUGAAUGAAUGAAUGAAUGGCUGUAAGGAGGUUACAUGGUAGAUUUGGCAGAACUAGUAUAAGCCAUAUCCUCCCUUCCUUUUCUGACCCCUGUAAAAUCCAGCCUCAGCAUUCCCCACUGAACCCCCCAACCUCUGCCCCCCCACACACAUAAGAAUGUGGACUGCCCACAGCUCACCAGUUCCUCUGGAACCAGUUUGAACCCCCUGUGACCCAGCAGGGCCCCCACUCCCCCUUGAGUGUUAAGAUUUUUGGAUUAGUUGGCUUGAACUGUUCUAGAAAACAACAGAGUACCUUUGAGAAAAACAAAAUGCAUUAAUUUGGGCCCUAGGUCAGAAAAACAAAUUUAUAUUUGGCUUUGAUCUGGGUUGAUUUUAGCCUUUGGCUAUCGAUCAGGAGAGUGAGAGGGUAGCAAGGGUUGUCUUUGCCCUAAAGUAAGAGACAUGGGUUUAAACCCUGCUCUGGCCAGAAUCAUGUAGGGAACUGGACCAGGCCUUCCUAUUUCUGUUCAUUUCAGCACACAUUUAAUGAGUACUUACUGUGUGUUAAGUAUGGUGUUGUACAGAUAGACUGCCCCAGCCCUCAAGGAGCUCAGUCUAGAGGGUAGAGAGAUAAGUGAGUAAAGGCUUACAGUUUAGAGGGAUCAGGGCUGUUAGGGAGGGGAGUGAGCAGGGGGGCUGUGUGAGCCCAGGAGAGGCACCAGAUUCAACUUAGAUUGAGAGGUGACAUCAGAAAGAUAUUAUGGGCCAACUCUGGGCACACUGCCUAUGAAUUCACCCUGCUUUGCAAGGAAUAGUAUGGUUAAUAAAAUUCUUUAAAAAAGAAAAAGAUGUUAUGGAAGUAUGUUACAUUAUUUGUAUGGCCCAGUGUAAAACGAAAGUGCAAGGCUUCUUAUUCAGAUUUCAAGAUGUCAGCAGCAGAGGAUUAAACUAAGCACAGGGCCCUACUGAGCACAGGGCUCUGUGUGACCUCACAGCUCUCAUCCCAUGAAGCCAGCCCUGCU
RNAcentral lists this long non-coding RNA (4328 nucleotides) under Homo sapiens (human). RNAcentral's name for it is "HSALNT0222837". The record is from RNAcentral. Lineage: Eukaryota; Metazoa; Chordata; Mammalia; Primates; Hominidae.